CUGUUGUGACGAUGUGUUUCAAAGUGGAGACGUGUGCAAAUGGUAAAUAUUUAUGUUAAUACAUCAACCACUCCCACGAUUGUCAUGUUUAGUACUGUACCAGGCCCAUGAUAUUUUCUGUUAAAACAUGAACAAAGACGGUAGCUUUGAGGAUGAGUUUCCUGUUAAGCAUAUUAAAGAGACUGGAAGAGCGCUGCGUCAAAAUCCCAAUAUCGAGUUAUGGUAUCAAAGUAAAAUAAUAUUAUCAUGCAAAUUCAUAAAGGUCACUUAGGAAAAUGGCUACCGAUAAUAUACAUGAAUAAUGAACACUCUCAAGUACCGCGCAAGUCUACGAAACUUUCUCGAGCUUCUUCUUCUUCAUACCUUCAGUAGAACAACUGGUUAUCUAUGUGUCAACUAGGCUGUACCACCACAGCUGAAAAAUAUACUGUAACCUCCGUAUUACAGACUACCCAGGAAAGUUUCAGGUAUUUUCACACACAUGUAUACACUCCUGAAGGAAGAUGCCUGCGCUGGUGGUGUUUCAACAACGAUGGAGGAUUGGGAGUGAUGAUUUUGUUAUCCCAGGAAUCAUAGAAGUAUUGGUCCGUGCAGGAUGGCUUGGAUUGGUGCUUGCCCUCUUCAUCCACCAUGAAAGUGAUACCAGCCGAUGCUCCCAUGGGAGUGAUCUUUUACGACUCUUCUUGGUGGGUGCCAUGGUGCUGCUGGGUGUCACGCUGAUUGUUACAAUUAUAUUGGUCAUAUUCAGCAGCCGGGGUACUAUAAUGAACACAGAACCAAGAAAACGUGUAGCAGACCUGUUGGUCAUCAGGUAUAGUAUAUUUCAUGC
Macrobrachium nipponense is the source of this 829-nucleotide long non-coding RNA. RefSeq lists it as uncharacterized. The record is from RefSeq and is a predicted model, not a curated record. The transcript has 3 exons. Lineage: Eukaryota; Metazoa; Arthropoda; Malacostraca; Decapoda; Palaemonidae.